Suricata suricatta (meerkat) is the source of this 1188-nucleotide long non-coding RNA. RefSeq lists it as uncharacterized. The transcript is spliced from 3 exons. The record is from RefSeq and is a predicted model, not a curated record. Lineage: Eukaryota; Metazoa; Chordata; Mammalia; Carnivora; Herpestidae.
CCUUGAGGCAGACCCAACUGUACGCCCAUCUUACAGAGAGGGAAACUAAAGGUAGAUGACUUGGCCCAAAUUCCCAAAGGUGGUAAGUGGGAGGGCCAGCUUGUCCAGAGGCGGCUUGACCCCCACUGCGUUCUACCGAUGCUGCUGCGCUGUUUCUCCUGAGGGUUCUCGGCACCCUGAGCUCUGCUGAGUUUGAAGCAGUCAUUGGAAAAAUUAUCUUCAAAGGAGAGAGGUGUGUCUUCUCUGCUCUUUCUGGCUGGGCAUGUGCCUGCAGCAGCCUCCUCCGCAGCCUGGCUUCACACACCCCUGGGCACCAGCACCUGCCUCAGCAGCAUCGAGCCAAGAAAGAAGGUGAAGGUCCAGGAAAGUGCGCUCAGUGUGAAAAGAGCUCUUAUUUUGGUUUCACAUCACCACGAGAUCCUUGGCUGAGGCAGAAGAAGGUCCGAGGCAGAGAAAGGAUGAGACAGGGUGACAGGUGCCUGCUUGGGGACCUUUAAGUCCAGGCAGCGGCCUGCCAGCCACGUCCAAAGCUCUGAGGUCAUUUCCCCUGAUACCAGAGACUUGGCGCCUGCUGGAACCCUUGGUGGAUUAGAAUGCCAGGGGUGCCCCGGAUCUGACGCCUCACACCCUGGCGCCUGGCAACGAGACCUGCUCCUCAGAGCCCAGGCCCUGUUGCAGGGGCAGAGACCCCCAAGGCGGGGGCCGUGGGGAGGGUGGUGAGUUGCCAAGACCCUGCCUACACCCUGCAGUGUUGACCUUGGACUCAGGGACACCCAAAUGGCAAGGGAAAAGGCAGACCCCUUCUGAAGACCUCAGAAGCUCUUAAAUGGAAUCCAGCUUAUACCCCUGUAGUGUUGAUGCCAACAGUUGCUAGGAGACAGCGGACAUCACAGGUGCUGGCAGGAGGGGAUCCCCAGAGCUCUGUGCAAUGCCUGGCCCCCGGCAGCUGCCCCAGCUCUGCCCACAGCCUCAGCCCUUUGCAGGAGCCAGAGGUCACAGCCAGAAGCCAGUGGCUUUGCUGAGAAAUCACUUACUCGGAGUAUGCAAACUGACAAACCUCGGAGAGGAGGCCAGGGUGGCGGGGAGGACAUCGGAUCUGUGGGAUCUGGGUGCCUCCCUACCUGGCAAGUCACAUAGCCUCUUUGAACUUGAGUUUUCUUCCAAUAAAAUGAGGAUAAUUAGACAACA